RNAcentral lists this ribosomal RNA (893 nucleotides) under uncultured eukaryote. RNAcentral describes it as "eukaryotic LSU rRNA". It matches the Rfam family "Eukaryotic large subunit ribosomal RNA", at positions 23 to 982 of the family's 3401-position model. The record is from RNAcentral.
ACCCGCUGAACUUAAGCAUAUCACUAAGCGGAGGAGAAGAAACUAACCAGGAUGCCCCUAGUAAUGGCGAAUGAAGCGGGCAGAGCUCACGCCGCCAAUCUGGAGGUCUUUUUCUAACGACCCCCCGAAUUGUAGUCUAGAAAGGCGCCAUCGGCCGCGUCCGCCGCUCAAAUCCCUUGGAACGGGGUAUCGGAGAAGGUGAGAAUCCUGUGCCGUGGCGGAUAGCGGUCGCACGAUGCGUCCUUGCAGAGUCGGGUUGCUUGGGAUUGCAGCUUGAAGUGGGUGGUAAAUUCCAUCUAAAGCUAAAUACUGGCGAGAGACCGAUAGCGAACAAGUACCGUGAGGGAAAGAUGCAAAGAACUUUGAAAAGAGAGUUAAAGAGUGCUUGAAAUCGGCAAGAGGAAACCCGUUUGUGCCCGGCUUCGCGCCGUCGACUCAGCCGCGCUUCUGCGCGGUGCACUUUGUCGGCGCGGGUCAGCCGCGGCUCUCCCUGCUUCACGAGGCUGUUUGCGGGGCUUUACGGCGAGCAUUCAGCUGGGUCGCGGGGGUGGCUCCGGCUGACGGAACGGGCACAACCGACCCGUCUAGAAACACGGACCAAGGAGUCUGACACGUGUGCGAGUACCCGGGUGGCAAGCCCGCGUGCGCAAUGAAAGUGAAGGGCGUGCCCCGCCAACCGACCUUGAUCUUCUGUGAAGGGUUUGAGUGUAGCACAUGCGUCGGGACCCGAAAGAUGGUGAACUAUGCCUGAGGAGGGUGAAGCCAGAGGAAACUCUGGUGGAGGCUCGUAGCGAUACUGACGUGCAAAUCGUUCGUCGAACUUGGGUAUAGGGGCGAAAGACUAAUCGAACCAUCUAGUAGCUGGUUCCCUCCGAAGUUUCCCUCAGGAAAGG